RNAcentral lists this ribosomal RNA (429 nucleotides) under Gemmatimonadota bacterium. RNAcentral describes it as "Gemmatimonadetes bacterium partial 16S ribosomal RNA". It matches the Rfam family "Bacterial small subunit ribosomal RNA", at positions 355 to 776 of the family's 1533-position model. The record is from RNAcentral. Lineage: Bacteria; Pseudomonadati; Gemmatimonadota.
UAGGGAAUCUUCGGCAAUGGACGAAAGUCUGACCGAGCAACGCCGCGUGCGUGAAGAAGGUUUUCGGAUCGUAAAACUCUGUUGUUAGAGAAGAACAAGGACGUUAGUAACUGAACGUCCCCUGACGGUAUCUAACCAGAAAGCCACGGCUAACUACGUGCCAGCAGCCGCGGUAAUACGUAGGUGGCAAGCGUUGUCCGGAUUUAUUGGGCGUAAAGCGAGCGCAGGCGGUUUCUUAAGUCUGAUGUGAAAGCCCCCGGCUCAACCGGGGAGGGUCAUUGGAAACUGGGAGACUUGAGUGCAGAAGAGGAGAGUGGAAUUCCAUGUGUAGCGGUGAAAUGCGUAGAUAUAUGGAGGAACACCAGUGACGAAGGCGGCUCUCUGGUCUGUAACUGACGCUGAGGCUCGAAAGCGUGGGGAGCAAACAGG